This 162-nucleotide ribosomal RNA is filed under the name Tylenchorhynchus leviterminalis. Its description in RNAcentral is "5.8S ribosomal RNA". It matches the Rfam family "5.8S ribosomal RNA". Rfam says of the family: 5.8S ribosomal RNA (5.8S rRNA) is a component of the large subunit of the eukaryotic ribosome. Lineage: Eukaryota; Metazoa; Nematoda; Chromadorea; Rhabditida; Telotylenchidae. The record is from RNAcentral.
AAUUCUAGUCUUAUCGGUGGAUCACUCGGCUCGUAGGUCGAUGAAGAACGCAGCUAACUGCGAUAAUUAGUGUGAACUGCAGAAACCUUGAACACAAAACUUUCGAAUGCACAUUGCGCCAUUGGAAUCACAUCCUUUGGUACGCCUGGUUCAGGGUCGUAA